AUUACAUUACAUUACAUUUCUCACAAUGAAUCGACAAACUAAACCCGAAAAUGUGGACCAGGUCAUAUCCCUGCGCGAUCCACCCCGGCAGUCCCGCAGCAGCAACCAGCAGUCUCGCAGCGGCGGCGGCAGCAGCAGCAGCAACAACAGAGCAGCGAAAACUGAAGACUUGGCCUAUACGACUAAGAUGACCACAAAACCCACAUGAUCACUAGGAAACAAAACAGGUACUUAAAGUAUAUAUAUUAUGGGAAGUUCUAUGGUGAUAUUGGUUUUGGUGGCUAAGAGUGGUAUAAAUUUGACCAACAAAUAAAAUAUUGACACAUGAUAAAAAAAUAAAUCUAAAAUUAUUUUGGUGUUAUUUUUUUAAAAUUAUUUUUUAUAAUUAUGAAAAUAAUUAUAAAAAAUUAUUUUGAUAAAAAUAAUCAUAAAAAAUUACAAAAGAGAGAAUCAUUUUUAUUUUAGAUUUAAUUUUUUUACCAUAUGUCAAUAUUUUACUUGUUAUUCAAAUUUAUACCAUUUUUAACCACCAAAAUUAAUGCCAUUAUAGAACUUCCCAUAUAUUAUUAUCUCAUUGUUAUUAAGCAUGAUGUGAAGAAGAUGAUAACUAAAUAUUAUUCAUCCUUUCAAUAUUUUUGUUGAAGGUACAUGCACAUGUGGAAGUGGGAAUAAGCUUGCAGCAGCAGCAGCAGCAGAGAUUGUUAUUGUUGAUCAAAGAUUAUUCAUUAUUUGGUUAAUUAAUUGUAAUUCGUUAAUUAUUAUUGUUCGUUUCGUUCUUAUUGGUCUAUCUGUUUAAUUUGUAGCUUUUGACCAUUAUUAUAUAGAAAGUGAUUUACGAAAAUAUUUGUUAACAAAAAAAA
This 860-nucleotide long non-coding RNA is filed under the name Arachis ipaensis. Its description in RNAcentral is "long non-coding RNA (AIPA_LNC000795)". Lineage: Eukaryota; Viridiplantae; Streptophyta; Magnoliopsida; Fabales; Fabaceae. The record is from RNAcentral.